CUACUACUCUAUCUCUAUCUUUACUUCAUUGUCUUUUAUUUGUUUGGUUUGUAAUAAUAUUCUGAUGUUGCUUGGAUAUUGGCUGGAUGUUUUUAUUUUGUACUUGAAUUUGAAUCUCCUUUGUUUAAUUGUGGAAUGAUUUUUACCUCUAGAGUUUGUUUCAAUAUUUUGGCAUGUUCUUUCUAGUCACUUGAGUAUCAAUUACUUGAUUUUCUCCGUGUNNNNNNNNNAGCACACACGAGGCAUGUUUCUUGGUACCUUUGAGCCUUUCUAUCCACCCUUACUUAUACUUAUCCUUUGCUUAACCAAUUUGAGCUGAAAAAGAAUAUGUGAUUUUUGCAAAACCUUAAGAAAUUUUUGAAAAAAAAAAGGAAUGACUUUCUUGGAGGUUAGGCACCUAAUUAGUGGUUGAUGCGCAUUGCUCACCACUAAGUUUGGGGUUGCUCUUUGGUAUUAGCAACAAAUGAAGUUUGGGGUGAGGGUACUAGAGAACUUAUGAAAGUUUUGAUUUGAAAAAUU
RNAcentral lists this long non-coding RNA (519 nucleotides) under Trifolium pratense (red clover). Its description in RNAcentral is "long non-coding RNA (TPRA_LNC004185)". The record is from RNAcentral. Lineage: Eukaryota; Viridiplantae; Streptophyta; Magnoliopsida; Fabales; Fabaceae.